This 503-nucleotide ribosomal RNA is filed under the name uncultured Sphingobacteriales bacterium. RNAcentral describes it as "bacterial SSU rRNA". It matches the Rfam family "Bacterial small subunit ribosomal RNA", at positions 903 to 1382 of the family's 1533-position model. Lineage: Bacteria; Pseudomonadati; Bacteroidota; Sphingobacteriia; Sphingobacteriales. The record is from RNAcentral.
CGCCUUGCCAGCCCGCUCAGAACUUAAAGGGAAUUGACGGGGGCCCGCACAAGCGGUGGAGCAUGUGGUUUAAUUCGAUGAUACGCGAGGAACCUUACCUGGGCUCAAAUGUAUGUUGACGUAUUCUGAAAGGGAUACUUCUUCGGACAAUAUACAAGGUGCUGCAUGGUUGUCGUCAGCUCGUGCCGUGAGGUGUCGGGUUAAGUCCCAUAACGAGCGCAACCCCUAUCAUUAGUUGCCAUCAGGUCAAGCUGGGGACUCUAAUGAAACUGCCUACGCAAGUAGUGAGGAAGGUGGGGAUGACGUCAAAUCAGCACGGCCCUUACGUCCAGGGCUACACACGUGCUACAAUGGCCGGUACAAAGGGCAGCUACCUGGUGACAGGAUGCAAAUCUCCAAAGUCGGUCUCAGUUCGGAUCGGAGUCUGCAACCCGACUCCGUGAAGUUGGAUUCGCUAGUAAUCGCGCAUCAGCCAUGGCGCGGUGAAUACGUUCCCGGGCCUU